GCAAUCGACCAUAGGAUUUUGUGGAAAACAGGACUUCCCGUUCGCUCAGUCAUACUUAAGCCACAUGCCGACGAGUUAGUAGCAAAGAUGGUGACAAUUUGCGAAUCCUCGUUGUUGAUUGUU
Molecule: ribosomal RNA, 123 nt
Filed under: Exophiala xenobiotica
Lineage: Eukaryota; Fungi; Ascomycota; Eurotiomycetes; Chaetothyriales; Herpotrichiellaceae
Source: RNAcentral